UAUCUACUACCAGACAUAAUUGAAUCUAUGGGAUUAUACAAUAAAAGAAUUUGAUCUUGGAUUGUUUAAUUGGGCUCAUAGAGACUCAAUUAGAUUAGGAUUUGAUGAAAUUCUAUUGGGUUUAAGAAAACUAUGCUAGCAUAUGGUUAAACUCAAAUCCUCUUGGGCUUGGACUUUCUAUUAAAUAGGCUUGACUAAGUCAAAUACUUUUGAUUUAUUUUUUACAUAAAAUUUAUGGAGAAAAUUAGAUGUAGGCACC
Molecule: long non-coding RNA, 259 nt
Filed under: Elaeis guineensis (African oil palm)
Lineage: Eukaryota; Viridiplantae; Streptophyta; Magnoliopsida; Arecales; Arecaceae
Description: long non-coding RNA (EGUI_LNC054193)
Source: RNAcentral